GUCGGCUAUGGAGACAUGUGCCCUACCACGUUGGGUGGGAAGAUAGUGGGAACCCUGUGUGCUAUUGCGGGGGUGUUAACCAUCGCGCUUCCUGUCCCAGUCAUCGUCUCCAAC
Molecule: non-coding RNA, 114 nt
Organism: Chelonia mydas (Green sea turtle)
Lineage: Eukaryota; Metazoa; Chordata; Testudines; Cheloniidae
Source: Rfam